Molecule: long non-coding RNA, 413 nt
Organism: Mauremys mutica (yellowpond turtle)
Lineage: Eukaryota; Metazoa; Chordata; Testudines; Geoemydidae
Exons: 4
Source: RefSeq, a predicted model, not a curated record
AAGAGAAAGAAAUUAUCACUAUGAUGUCAUCGCUGGAGACUGUUUGGUACAAUUACCUUGGGGAAAGCAGGUUCAGCCAUUACAGCAACAUGACUGGAGACAGAUAAAUUCAGCAUGGAGAGAUAAAAAUAAGAAGCUCUGACUACAGGCGAGAGAAUAUUUGUGUCCCAUUCUGAGGAAUUUGAGAGAGUCUGUCAGCAACAAAAGCUUCCUCCAGACACACACCCGGUAAGAGGAGUCCAGUAACAUGAGACCUUUCAAAAGUCUUUCAACAUCCCGAAAUGACUAGCUGCUAAAAUGUCAUCAUGGAGGAUUAACCCAGUACCCCAACACACAGCUGGAUUGACACUGAAAGCAGAGCUGCUCAUUUGCACACUCCUCCAUGCACAAAUUGCCCAUGCCCCAAGAAGGCA